This 1944-nucleotide long non-coding RNA is filed under the name Schizosaccharomyces pombe (fission yeast). Lineage: Eukaryota; Fungi; Ascomycota; Schizosaccharomycetes; Schizosaccharomycetales; Schizosaccharomycetaceae. The record is from RNAcentral.
UAAUUUAAAGACGAAACUUGUCUCUCUUGCUUUGUGUUUUCUGUCGUUUCGCAGCACCAACCUUCAUAGCCUGCUCAGACACCAACUCCGAAAGCUCAUCUUGCCAAUUAGAACUUUGAUUUAACGCAACAUCUCCUUUGUUGGUUGAUGAGAGCAUGGAAUGUGCAUUCCUUUUUUGUGGAAGAGUAUCUUCAGCGGUAGGAAUGUCGUAUUGAUGCUGAGGACCCAUGAAACCUGAGAUAUUAGUAGAUUUUUCAGGUAAAACUUGAUAUAAGUCUCGAUUAGCAGCAUCACUACUUGGUUGAGUAUUUUUUCGUAAUUCAACAUUGUCAACCUCUACAUUAGAUUGAUUAAAAUACGUUAAGGGCUCUGCAUGCAAAUCUUCCCUCUGUGACCUAGGCUCUGACGCUGACUGAUAUUCCUCAAUCGUUUCACGUUCAGUAAUUUCUUCAGUAGGAUAUUCUACGUCUUCGCUCUCUUCCUCUUCACUAGAUUCUUCUUCCUCAAACUCCUCCAAUUCACCCCAAUGCUGAGUGCUCACAGGCGAACCUGUACCAGCAUGUAUUCGAGGUUUGACAUUACCAAACACGUCGCCAUAAAGAGGACGAUUAAAUUGGUCCACAGGAGGUUUUCCCCAACCACCAGGAUGAAAUCCCCACUGCGCUCCAGUCGGAAUUGGACAAUUCACACCGGGAAUUUUAAGAUCUGGAUAACUUGGAGGAGGCCCGUAUCUCUGCAUAGCAAAUAACCAAGGAGGAGGUGCUCCUGGAGCAAUUCCCAAGGCUUCACGGAGCUCCUCCGAAAUGUCGCCGGGCCUCUUUUCUUUCACAUCAGCUUCUAAUUCUUUUCCUUCAAAAUAGCAUUCGCCAAAACCGGUUAGCACCGGUUUUGUUUGGUAGCGAAAGAAGGCAUCAUGAAGCUUUUGAUAAUCAAUGUCAAGCUUUCCCAUUUUUGGUUGGACACGCUCACGCAUUUUUUGACGCAAAGGCAUAUCAGCUUCAUUUUCAUGCACAGCAUUACGCAUUUGAACUAUGCCAGUAGCACGAAUAUACGAGGGUAACUCGAAGAGUUGACGUUCUAUACCUCUUUGGCCACUCAAGUAAUCUCUUUUUUGGUUCCAAUGACGGGGAACAGGAACAGUAUUAGGAUAUGCUUUUAGAUGUGUGAGGAAUAAAGGAUCAAGCGACGAAACAUCCCACCAUUCGACGACAUCUGCUUUCUCGGAGAGCAUCUUCAGUUGAGCAACAGUCAUCCUUUUUAACUUUCUCAAUUUCUUUUUACUAAGUUUUUCCUCCUGUUGUUUUUGUAAAGCGUCUUCUUCGCCUUCACUCAAAAUUUCAUCGUCAGAAUACAUUAUUUGGCCCUUGUCGGUAUCUUCGAAAUCUUUUUCUUGACCAUCAGCUUUGAAACGAUUAAAGACAUCUUUAAAUUGCUCUAUUAGCGGAUCAUUAGGAUCUAAUUCUACAGAAUCGACGAUUGUAGUAUAGACCAUCCCGUCAACACUAUCAGUUUUGUUUGUAUCAUAGAAGUUUCCAUUAGAUUUUUUAUCAUUGUAUAGGUUGUCAUUAUUUUCAGUCAACUGGUCCUUGUCAUCACUAUUUUUUUCUGCCAAUUUAGCACCAGAAUUUGUCUUUUCACGUAGUAAUUUUUUUUUCUCUCGACGAACUUGGUUUCUGCUCUUUUUAUUUUUUUGCUUAUUAUUCCUCUCUAAAAUUUUCUCCAGUUCCUUUAAAGGAUUUUGAGCUGUCUGUAUUUCAGCCAUUAACAAAAAAUCUAAGCAACAAUGCUUUGGACGUGUCAACAAGUACAUGCAUGGAGCGUAUUAACAAAACACUACCACCCAAAAAACGAGUAUCCUCCUUACUGAAGAUUUUUUGUAAAAAAAAAUACUAGCAAUAGUCAUGAUGAACGGGUCCUUAUUCUUACUGUAAUUAAUAGAAAAUA